CCUACGGGAGGCGCAGUGGGGAAUCUUGCGCAAUGGGCGAAAGCCUGACGCAGCAACGCCGCGUGCGGGAUGACGGCCUUCGGGUUGUAAACCGCUUUCAGUGGGGACGAACCAAGACGGUACCCACAGAAGAAGCCCCGGCCAACUACGUGCCAGCAGCCGCGGUAACACGUAGGGGGCGAGCGUUGUCCGGAUUUAUUGGGCGUAAAGAGCUCGUAGGCGGUUCGAUAAGUCGGGUGUGAAACCUCCAGGCUCAACCUGGAGACGCCACCCGAUACUGUCGUGACUAGAGUCCAGUAGGGGAGCGUGGAAUUCCUGGUGUAGCGGUGAAAUGCGCAGAUAUCAGGAGGAACACCAGUGGCGAAGGCGGCGCUCUGGGCUGGAACUGACGCUGAGGAGCGAAAGCGUGGGGAGCGAACAGGAUUAGAUACCCUGGUAGUCCACGCCGUAAACGUUGGGUACUAGGUNUGGGGUCUUAUCAACGGAUUCCGUGCCGCAGCUACGACAUAAGUACCCGUCCGUCGGGUAGGUACGGCCGGCCGACGGACGUAAACCUAACCAAACUAGAAGUUAGUACGGCGUGAGACGUGCCGACGGACGACGACGAGGGAGUAGG
RNAcentral lists this ribosomal RNA (616 nucleotides) under uncultured bacterium. RNAcentral's name for it is "bacterial SSU rRNA". The stretch from base 1 to 519 matches the Rfam family "Bacterial small subunit ribosomal RNA", at positions 338 to 873 of the family's 1533-position model. The record is from RNAcentral.